AUGAAUUGCCUAAGUUGGAACUGCCGGGGAGGGGGGAACACCCGGACAGUUCGCGAGUUAGCGACGUUGUGUAAGUCGCAUUCCCCCAUGAUUGUCUUUCUGUGUGAAACCAGGCAAAAGGAGGAGAACAUGAAGAGGAUCCGAGCCAAGCUGGCCCUUAAGGGUUUUUGUGGAGUGGAUAGUGAUGGUUUGAGUGGUGGUUUGGCCUUGUACUGGAGUGAA
RNAcentral lists this ribosomal RNA (222 nucleotides) under Triticum aestivum (bread wheat). Its description in RNAcentral is "partial small subunit ribosomal RNA". Lineage: Eukaryota; Viridiplantae; Streptophyta; Magnoliopsida; Poales; Poaceae. The record is from RNAcentral.